AAAUCUCAGCCCUUCACUCUAAAAUCCAACGAUUGAGAUUAAGUGAUUAACCCUAAAAUCUAAGCCUACAGUCCAUACUAUAUUAACCCCUUUUUUUCAUUUCCUCCCCCAUUUCGCCACUUUCUAAACCCUAAUCUCAAUUUCUCUGUUUGCAAUUCAGAUCUACACCAUCUCUCACAAAAACCCUAACCAUUAUUCUUCUUCGAACCAAAACUACCAAAGAUUCAAAUGAGGAAUCACAUUAUCUAUUUACAUUUCGAUGAGCUUGGUGAAGUAGAAGACGACGAAAAAUAACGGCAAGAAGAAUCCAGAAGAUGACACUCUGUAGUCCAGUUAGCGAAAGCGAAAGUUUCCGGUAGAUCAUGAUAUUUUCGACAACAAACUUUCUAGAAAUUCGGCUUAAGUUUAGCGAGAUCAAAGGUGUUUUCUUCGCACUGCAGCAGAUCAGAGAGAAAGCUGAACAAGAUGGCCUGAAUAAGAAGGAGGAAAUGAUUUCUAGAUGGAGAAAAGUGCCACCUUUUAUAUUAGGGCGUAUUAGUUGCUGAUUUUGUAAUGUUGUUGGAAGCUUGGAAUGAUUAAUGGCAGUUUUUGUUCAAUUUUAAUUUUAUAUUUUUUUUGUCUAAUACUUUAAGUCUGAUUUUAUUUAUUUUAUUUCUAAUAUUUAUUAAAUACUAAGUAAAACAAAUGUUUGAUCGUUAGAGAGAGACGUCUUCACUAUUUUUUUAUUAGACAUUAAAACAUUAAGUAACAAGGACCGAACACGUUCAAACAUUAAGUAAGUCUGAUUUUAUUUAUUUCUAAAACAGCAUGUUAUAAUUUACAUUUAAACUCUAAAAAUAUUGUAAUUUGCCUAAUUUCUAAACAGAACCAAAUAUAAAUGGGCUGAAAAUGUACAUAAUGAUUAAUUCAAUUCAACUAUUUACAUAAAUUAAAAAAAAGUUGGAGGUUAAGAAUUAAGAUACCUUA
Molecule: long non-coding RNA, 966 nt
Organism: Beta vulgaris subsp. vulgaris (sugar beet)
Lineage: Eukaryota; Viridiplantae; Streptophyta; Magnoliopsida; Caryophyllales; Amaranthaceae
Exons: 3
Source: RefSeq, a predicted model, not a curated record